Molecule: transfer RNA, 64 nt
Filed under: Pliocardia ponderosa
Lineage: Eukaryota; Metazoa; Mollusca; Bivalvia; Venerida; Vesicomyidae
Description: tRNA-Phe
Source: RNAcentral
GUUUCGAUAGUUUAAAGAGAACGUAGCUUUGAAGUAGCUAAGGUAAUGAUUAUGUUUUGAGAUG